Molecule: ribosomal RNA, 83 nt
Filed under: Hypera postica (alfalfa weevil)
Lineage: Eukaryota; Metazoa; Arthropoda; Insecta; Coleoptera; Curculionidae
Description: partial 16S ribosomal RNA
Source: RNAcentral
UGGUUUCUAUCUCAAAUGAUUGAUAAUAUCCUAGUACGAAAGGAUUGGGUAUUAAAUUUAAAAUUUUAUUGUUGAAUAAUAUU